RNAcentral lists this ribosomal RNA (253 nucleotides) under uncultured bacterium. Its description in RNAcentral is "partial 16S ribosomal RNA". It matches the Rfam family "Bacterial small subunit ribosomal RNA", at positions 524 to 776 of the family's 1533-position model. The record is from RNAcentral.
UACGUAGGGAGCAAGCGUUGUCCGGAAUCAUUGGGCGUAAAGCGCGCGUAGGCGGCCCGAUAAGUCCGCUGUGAAAGUCAACGGCUCAACUGUUGGAUGCCGGUGGAUACUGUCGGGCUAGAGUGCGGAAGAGGCGAGUGGAAUUCCUGGUGUAGCGGUGAAAUGCGCAGAUAUCAGGAGGAACACCAAUUGCGAAGGCAGCUCGCUGGGACGUUACUGACGCUGAGACGCGAAAGCGUGGGGAGCAAACAGG